Molecule: small nuclear RNA, 114 nt
Filed under: Oryzias sinensis (Chinese medaka)
Lineage: Eukaryota; Metazoa; Chordata; Actinopteri; Beloniformes; Adrianichthyidae
Description: U5 spliceosomal RNA (ENSOSIG00000002006.1)
Rfam family: U5 spliceosomal RNA
About the family: U5 RNA is a component of both types of known spliceosome. The precise function of this molecule is unknown, though it is known that the 5' loop is required for splice site selection and p220 binding, and that both the 3' stem-loop and the Sm site are important for Sm protein binding and cap methylation.
Source: Rfam by way of RNAcentral
GCACUCUUGUUUCUCUUCAGAUCGUAUAAAUCUUUCGCCUUUUACUAAAGAUUUCCGUGGGGAGGAACAACAAGAGUUUGAUUCAAUUUUAUGAUGCCCUGCAGUAGUAGGGCU